UCGUCGGGAAGAAGUUUCCUCUGAUGAACUUCACGGUUACCUUCUCGGUCGUGAAGCUGCUCUGCUGAAGCGCAAACUCCGAUCCAUUUCCUCUGGACCUACGGAACCGUUUCAUGCUUAUGCAGCCACUCCUCGUUCUUCACAGCACUUUUCUCGCUCACGUGGUUCCAACAACUCUAACUCUCAGCAUCGAGGUUUUCCUCCCACUCGUGG
RNAcentral lists this long non-coding RNA (213 nucleotides) under Prunus persica (peach). Its description in RNAcentral is "long non-coding RNA (PPER_LNC000739)". The record is from RNAcentral. Lineage: Eukaryota; Viridiplantae; Streptophyta; Magnoliopsida; Rosales; Rosaceae.